UACGUAGGGCGCAAGCGUUGUCCGGAAUUACUGGGCGUAAAGGGCUCGUAGGUGGCCAACUAAGUCAGACGUGAAAUCCCUCGGCUUAACCGGGGAACUGCGUCUGAUACUGGAUGGCUUGAGGUUGGGAGAGGGAUGCGGAAUUCCAGGUGUAGCGGUGAAAUGCGUAGAUAUCUGGAGGAACACCGGUGGCGAAGGCGGCAUCCUGGACCAAUUCUGACACUGAGGAGCGAAAGCCAGGGGAGCAAACGGG
Molecule: ribosomal RNA, 253 nt
Filed under: uncultured bacterium
Lineage: Bacteria
Description: partial 16S ribosomal RNA
Rfam family: Bacterial small subunit ribosomal RNA
Source: RNAcentral